RNAcentral lists this transfer RNA (75 nucleotides) under Candidatus Falkowbacteria bacterium CG1_02_37_21. RNAcentral describes it as "tRNA-Thr". It matches the Rfam family "tRNA". From Rfam's summary of the family: Transfer RNA (tRNA) molecules are approximately 80 nucleotides in length. Their secondary structure includes four short double-helical elements and three loops (D, anti-codon, and T loops). The record is from RNAcentral. Lineage: Bacteria; Candidatus Falkowiibacteriota. RNAcentral also lists the same sequence under 1 other name.
GCCGACUUAGCUCAGUGGUAGAGCAGCUGUUUUGUAAACAGCAGGUCGUCGGUCCAAUCCCGACAGUCGGCUCCC